GUUUACCUAUGUGAUGGACUAUAGUAAUACCUGGGCCGGGCCCUACCUCCCACAGGGCCGGGGCGGUCGCCCCGUUGCCCCGCCUUGUGGGCCGGCCCUGACUACAUUGUAUUUUUCCCGGCCCUCACGGCCUCCUUUUCUCAUUAACUCAAGCAAUACUUAUACAUAGAAGGCUAACCUCACGCACACAACUCAGCUGCCAUGCACGGCCACUAACCCAACUAAUCCAUCUCCUGGAAUCUCUCGAGACACAUGGGACUCGUCCAACAUGCAAGGCACACCAGUUGAGUCAUAAAUCCACUCACGCAUGCACUUAGACCUAUUCUCUUGCUGCUACUAACUAACUCAUCUAAUCCCACUACACUAACUUGCGUGUAUACACAUUAACUCAUCUUCACGUGAGUACACACCCGCAGUCUAAUAGCUGGACACGACGGCAUGCAUGGCUCAACAAAAGCAAAUAACCAAACCUAGUACUAAUAACAAGAUUAGUUCCAACAUUCACCUUCUUAACCUUGUUAACUUAGUUCUCUCUUGAAGCCCGUGGUUGUCGAUGUCGCUGGUGCAACACGGAGACGGCCGCCAAUGCCAUCUUGUCACGCCGAUUGUCGUCGUUGCCGCUUGCUUCGAUGAGAGCCACACCUUUUAUGCCUUCACCAUGAGUGUGCCGCCAUUGCACGCUCGUUGCCGCAUGUGUGCCACCGCUUCCGCAACUCGUCGGUGACUCGCCUCCAUGUUCGUCACCGGUGCCGCAACUCGCCGGUGACCCGCCUCCAUGUUCGUCACCGGUGCCGCAACUCGCCGGUGACUUGCCUCCAUGUUACCGAUGAUGACACACCUUAUCGCCGACUCGGACAUGGAACUCCUUAAGGCAAUGGCCUCCACUCCAUGGCCAUCACCUUCUUGCCGCCGGCGACUCAACUUACCGGACAACAUACCUUUCUCCACCACUCGUGACGCAGCUCGACGAUGAUGAAGACACGCACCAGCCGCUAGCAGCAUCACGCCGCCAACGGCGUCCAACUUGCGCCGCCAACGGCCUCCUCACAUGGAGUCUGUCGCACCGCCACCGCUUCGGAUCGACAAGGC
RNAcentral lists this long non-coding RNA (1089 nucleotides) under Hordeum vulgare. RNAcentral's name for it is "long non-coding RNA (HVUL_LNC013647)". Lineage: Eukaryota; Viridiplantae; Streptophyta; Magnoliopsida; Poales; Poaceae. The record is from RNAcentral.